This 671-nucleotide ribosomal RNA is filed under the name uncultured Verrucomicrobiota bacterium. RNAcentral's name for it is "bacterial SSU rRNA". It matches the Rfam family "Bacterial small subunit ribosomal RNA", at positions 8 to 653 of the family's 1533-position model. Lineage: Bacteria; Pseudomonadati; Verrucomicrobiota. The record is from RNAcentral.
AGAGUUUGAUCCUGGCUCAGAACGAACGCUGGCGGCGCGGAAAGACAUGCAAGUCGAGCGCUCAUCCGUUUGCAGCAAUGUACGCGGGUGGGAGCGGCGCAAGGGUGCGUAACGCGUGGGUAAUUUGCCGUGAAGUUGGGAAUAACUCCGAGAAAUCGGAGCUAAUGCCGAAUGUGGUUGCCUGGGGGCAUCUCCGGGUUACUAAAGUUGGGGACCGAAAGGCCUGACGCUUCACGAUAAGCCCGCGCCCUAUCAGCUAGUUGGUGAGGUAACGGCCCACCAAGGCUAAGACGGGUAGCUGGUCUGAGAGGACGACCAGCCACACUGGAACUGAGACACGGUCCAGACACCUACGGGUGGCAGCAGUCGAGAAUUUUUCACAAUGGGCGCAAGCCUGAUGGAGCGACGCCGCGUGGGGGAUGAAGGGCUUCGGCCCGUAAACCCCUGUCAUUUGCGAACAAUUCUUUUCCGAUAACACCGGAAAAGUUGAUGGUAGCGAAAGAGGAAGGGACGGCUAACUCUGUGCCAGCAGCCGCGGUAAUACAGAGGUCCCAAGCGUUGUUCGGAUUCACUGGGCGUAAAGGGUGCGUAGGUGGUGAGGUAAGUCGGAUGUGAAAUCUCUGAGCUCAACUCAGAAAUGGCAUUGGAAACUACCUUGCUAGAGGAUUGGA